CAGGUUAUCACUGAUUUGACACGGCCUCUAGUGGACACUCCAGGAACUGCAGGUGAGCAUCAUCUCAGUUUUUAACUAUCAAACAGGUGUAAGUGGUGUGGCUGUAACAGCAGUUGUUUUGAUUGUUGUUACGGUUGUAGUUACAGUUGUAGUUGAAGUUGUUUUGAUUGUUGUUACAGUUGUAGUUACAGUUGUAUUGAUCAUUGUAACAGUUGUUGUAACAGUUGUUACUCAAUUGUUUUGAUUGUUGUUACAGUUGUAGUAACAGUUGUCUUGAUUGUUGUAACAAGGUCUGCGCUCUCCAAGUGCUUUUCUAGUUACUGAUUGUUGUUACAGCUGUUACUCAGUUUUUUUGAUUGGUGUUACAGUUGAUGUUGCUACAGUUGUAGUUACAGUUGUUACUCAGUUGUUUUGGUUGUUGUUAUAAUUGUUGUUACAGUUGUUACGCAGUUGUUUUAAAUGUGCUGACAGUUGUUGUUACAGUUGUUACUCAGUUGUUUCGAUUGAUGUCACAGUUGUUGCAGUUGUUACUCAGUUGUUUGAAUAGUUGUUGAAGUUGUAGUUAUAGUUGUUUUGAUUGUUGUUAUAGUUGUUGUAACAGUUGUUACUCAGUUGUUUUGAUUCUCGUUAAAGUUGUGGUUACAGUUGUUUUGAUUGUUACAGUUGUUGUUACAGAUGUUUUGAAUGUUCUUACAGUUUAUGAUACAGUUGUAGUUACAGUUGUUUUGUUUGCUAUUAAAGUUGUUACACAGUUGUUUUAAUUCUUGUUAAAUUUGUGGUUACAGUUGUUUUUAUUGUUACUUCGGCCCAUUGGAAGCCCUGAAAGUGGGCGGGAGUAUUUUCCUUGAUAGACAGACUACUGUAACCAAUCACCGUAACCAAGCAUCUGACAUCAUCACAGAUGCUUGGUUACGGUGAUUGGUUACAGUAGUACAUGGACCAAUCAGGGGCUGCCUUUCCCUGUUGUCCGGGUAACAGUGGAAACACGGUCUCUGAUUGGCCUGGUUAUUUUCAGAUCGGGAAUACAUGCUCUCUAUGGGCCGAAGUCCAGACUGUUGUGGGAAGGAACGUCAAGUGAUUCACGCAACAGGAUGGCACAGCCAGGCUAUGGAUCACCCACUUCACAACACCUUGAUGGACCAAAGGAUCAAUGGUGGUGGACGGCUCCUCUCUCUUUGCUGCAGGACAGAAAAAUUCAGAAGAUCUUUUGUACCAACAGCCAUUAGACUUUAUAACUCUGGUG
This is a non-coding RNA of Xyrichtys novacula (pearly razorfish), 1243 nucleotides long. The record is from the annotation of a GenBank genome assembly. Lineage: Eukaryota; Metazoa; Chordata; Actinopteri; Labriformes; Labridae.